Molecule: long non-coding RNA, 1617 nt
Filed under: Eurytemora carolleeae
Lineage: Eukaryota; Metazoa; Arthropoda; Copepoda; Calanoida; Temoridae
Description: uncharacterized LOC111715989
Source: RNAcentral
UGAAAUUUUUUAAAAAAUGUUUAAGGUUAAUGUAAAAGCCAAAUAUUAUUUAUUGGAGACCAAAAUGUGUGGCAUGGAAACAGAAUAGUGGAAAGCUAGGUGACAUAGCGAGAGGCAUGGAGACAGGUUCUGCAGGGCCUGGAGGUUAUUCUGCAAAUCUGGAGGCUCAGAAGUAAUUUUUAGAGUAAUCAUGGCCCCUCGGCACUGAAGCACCCUCCCUCAACAGUCCAGCACCUCUCAAACCAAUUGCUUCCACCUACUGUUCUGAAGUAUAUACAUAUUCUGAUGGGAAACAAUUCCAGGAAAUAAUGAAUCCUGAAAUAAACCAUUCAGAGCCCUACUAUACUCCAGCCCGCUCUCACCCACAUCUUUGGCAAUGUCCUCACUUAUAAGAUAUCAAGAAAGUCACCAUGUGAUUGUAAGACAAUUAGUUACAGUUGACGGAGAAAGAAAUUAGGUUGCCAAAUUGAAAGCCCCAAACUAUUUCCAAGGGUAUAGACAACAUUCAAGUCAACAAUCAAAUAAUAAAUAAUUCUGGUGCUCAGAACGGCUUUCCCAGGCUUUGAAUUCUGUCUAAAGAGUUCUUGAAAGGGUUUCCAGGAAAGUGCAAUAUUUUGGCCUCAACCAUGUUGACGUCUAUUGGACUGAAACAAACAGACAGACAAGACAAAAUAAAUUUAUGAUUGGCUCAGUACUGUUCCUACCCUUAAAAUUUGUUGUGUCUAUAGCAAUAGUGAAACAAUUCUUUAAACCGGUUUUAGUUCAAUCCAAAAACUAAUGAAAUUACCUAUAAAUGCUGUUAGAAGAUUUCCCUCAAUAGUUGCUGUGUCUAUUUCAUUUGUUUCAUUGUCCACAUUGAAGAUCUCUCUCCAGUUAUUAUAUCCAACCCUUUUCAAGUGAAAUAAAUAAGACUAUUUUUUAAUGGUGAUUUCACUGUAAGUAAUGUGCAUUAAAUCUCUGCUGCCUUUUCAUGUUUAUUUUAUUCAAAUUCUGUUUACUUUUUAAUCAAAUUCUGUUCAAAUACUGUUUGAUUUCUAAUCCAAUUCUGUUCAAAUUCUAUUCUGUUCUAAUCUUUAUCAUUUUCAAUUCAAAAUUAAAUCUCUGUUGACAGAGACAUUCCCAUCUGGCACUUUAAUUUUAGUUUUUAAGAAUAGGUUUGGAAAAAUGUUUCAGCAGCGCCAAUUUUUCACUCAAAAUGUACAUAUUCAAUUAUUUCUCCCCACCCUGGAAAAUCUUAUAAGGUUGUUAGUUUUUCAGCAGAGAGAUUCUUUCAUUCCAGAAUGAAGACUUCACACCUCUUUUAUGAGAAUAAGAUAAUAUUCUUGAGGAACUUUAAAUUUCCCACAAGAAGAAAACAUAAGAAUUGAUCAGUCUGCUAAAUUUGAGAAGAUGACUUCAAGACAUAAAAGUAGGGCUGGGCAGAGUUACAUUAACAAAAAUCAAUGAAGAGUUUGUUAACACACGCUAGAAAAUAUUUGGAUUGUGUCCAGCCCUAGAGAAAGGGCUUUCAACUCAUUAGCAGUAAAAGUGAUAGACAGGACCUAAUAAAGGUAAAAAAAAUUCAUAAAAAAAGAAGACCAUAAAUGUUUCUAUAUAAUUACUGAAUUUGAGCAUAAA